UGAAGUUCAGAGCCUUUGGUGUUCUGCAAAUGACAGAAGAGAAUGUCCUUGCAUUCCUUGUAGCAAGAACCUACCCAAGUAAUACCAACCUUGAUUUCCAGAUGGAAUAGAACAUAUACAAAAGUAGAAGUGAUGUUUUCUGCAUCAUAGUUCUGAAGAAGAUCUGGGAGAAGCAGCUGCUAAUAGUUCUAGCUGUUGUUGCCAGUACUACUGGAGCUAGUGAUUCCCAGGAUCUUUACUAACCGGCAUGCAGUCUUCUGAGAAUUCUAGCUACUGCCUGGUGACUGAUCCUAGGGGUAACCAAUGAUCAAUCUUAUUUCAACCUGCCUACCAUUGCUCUGAGUAGCACAGAUUCUCCCAUGUACUGUGUGUCACCACAUGCACCAGCAAGGGAACUUACUCAUUCAUUAGUCUUGAUAUGGUGCCUAGGUUGGAUAUGGUUGGUAGGUUUGAUAUAGCUGACCAGGAAGCUGUAUGCCACCAUUUCCUGUAAGCAUCCUUAGAAAGCCAUGCCUAAUUUCUGCAUCUAUAAAUAUCCUGGAAUCAUGGAGAAGGAAGAGAAAGCUACUGCUGAAAAGUCUGUGGCCAACGAGGAUUUCAGGGCAAAUGAAUCAUGCUAGCUCCUGGGUUCAUGGCUGCUUCAUCUGGAGGUCAAUCUGAUUCAAACAAGGCUAUGUAAGCCCCCUCUUUGCCUAUCCCGUUUUUCCUGACUGAAGAGUGGGGUACCCACUAUUCUCAUUGGGGACUGCUCCGUGGCUCCCAGUUUUUCAGGCCAAUGAAUGGGUAACAACAACACUGAGUU
This 802-nucleotide long non-coding RNA is filed under the name Mus musculus (house mouse). Its description in RNAcentral is "long non-coding RNA chr2:15342620-15343422". The record is from RNAcentral. Lineage: Eukaryota; Metazoa; Chordata; Mammalia; Rodentia; Muridae.